Drosophila nasuta is the source of this 598-nucleotide long non-coding RNA. RefSeq lists it as uncharacterized. The record is from RefSeq and is a predicted model, not a curated record. The transcript has 3 exons. NCBI's taxonomy places the organism in Eukaryota, Metazoa, Arthropoda, Insecta, Diptera, Drosophilidae.
AUAUGCCUUUGGAAGAGUCGAUGAAAGUGUGCUCAACUCUGAGACCCCCGCUACUCAUUUUGAAGAAAGUCAAAAUAUAGCGGUAUUAAUUUUUAAAUAUACCAAAAUAACCGCAGAAAUACUGGAAAUUUACAAAAGGAUAUUCUAGUUGUGGCCACAAACAAAAAUUUGAUUUCCUAUUGAUGGGAAAAGCAUCGGACUCCGUUUGUCGAUUGGCAGACAAAUGUCAGAUCAGAAACUACAUACAUACAUGUCAAUCGAUAAAGUAACGACAAAAGGCACUCACAGAAUAAAGCAACACCGAAUUUUGUCAUUUGGAGUCAUUGCAUUUCGAGGAUAUAAACGCCAUUGGUGGUUGGAGAAUACACGCAUCAACAUGGCAGACAAUAAUGAGCCAGUGUCGCUAACGCCACCGGAUGCACGGCGAAUAUUUUUGAAAGAAUUAAAACGUCGUAUUAUUAAAGCACGCAGUGCCCAAACGGUUGGUUGGCUGGAGCAACACUUAGAGAAUGCAACCGAUUCAGUCUUGGCACAAAUCGAUGAUAAAUUGAACACGUUGAACACGUUCCUGCUAAGAAAAAAUAGCAUAUUGAUUGAU